Molecule: unclassified non-coding RNA, 288 nt
Filed under: Cercophora sp.
Lineage: Eukaryota; Fungi; Ascomycota; Sordariomycetes; Sordariales; Lasiosphaeriaceae
Description: partial contains 5.8S ribosomal RNA, internal transcribed spacer 2, and large subunit ribosomal RNA
Rfam family: 5.8S ribosomal RNA (bases 1-71)
Source: RNAcentral
GUGAGUCAUCGAAUCUUUGAACGCACAUUGCGCCUGCCAGUAUUCUGGCGGGCAUGCCUGUUCGAGCGUCAUUUCAACCAUCAAGCCAUAGGCUUGUGUUGGGGCCCUGCGGCUGUCCGCAGCCUCCUAAAUCUAGUGGCGGUCUCGCUAUCAUACCGAGCGCAGUAGCGUAAUCUUCUCGCUCUGGGCGUGAUAGCGGGCACCCUGCCGUAAAAGCACAUAUUUCAAGGUUGACCUCGGAUCAGGUAGGAAUACCCGCUGAACUUAAGCAUAUCAAUAAGCGGAGGA